Molecule: ribosomal RNA, 253 nt
Filed under: uncultured bacterium
Lineage: Bacteria
Description: partial 16S ribosomal RNA
Rfam family: Bacterial small subunit ribosomal RNA
Source: RNAcentral
UACGUAGGGUGCAAGCGUUAAUCGGAAUUACUGGGCGUAAAGCGUGCGCAGGCGGUUAUGCAAGACAGAUGUGAAAUCCCCGGGCUCAACCUGGGAACUGCAUUUGUGACUGCAUGGCUAGAGUACGGUAGAGGGGGAUGGAAUUCCGCGUGUAGCAGUGAAAUGCGUAGAUAUGCGGAGGAACACCGAUGGCGAAGGCAAUCACCUGGGGUUGUUCUGACGCUGAGGAGCGAAAGCUAGGGGAGCAAACGGG